UUAUUAUGACGAGAUUCCACUUUGUGAAGUCCAUGUUUCUGGAAAACAUGACUUUGUGGAACUUCUGAUUAA
Camelus dromedarius (Arabian camel) is the source of this 72-nucleotide small nucleolar RNA. Its record names the gene SNORD18. It matches the Rfam family "Small nucleolar RNA SNORD18". From Rfam's summary of the family: U18 is a member of the C/D class of snoRNA which contain the C (UGAUGA) and D (CUGA) box motifs. Lineage: Eukaryota; Metazoa; Chordata; Mammalia; Artiodactyla; Camelidae. The record is from Ensembl.